Molecule: ribosomal RNA, 469 nt
Filed under: uncultured bacterium
Lineage: Bacteria
Description: partial 16S ribosomal RNA
Rfam family: Bacterial small subunit ribosomal RNA
Source: RNAcentral
GAUGAACGCUGGCGGCGUGCUUAACACAUGCAAGUCGAACGGUGAACCCGGAGCUUGCUCUGUGGGAUCAGUGGCGAACGGGUGAGUAACACGUGAGCAACCUGCCCCUGACUCUGGGAUAAGCGCUGGAAACGGCGUCUAAUACUGGAUAUGUGACGUGACCGCAUGGUCUGCGUUUGGAAAGAUUGUUCGGUUGGGGAUGGGCUCGCGGCCUAACAGCUUGUUGGUGAGGUAAUGGCUCACCAAGGCGUCGAGGGGUAGCCGGCCUGAGAGGGUGACCGGCCACACUGGGACUGAGACACGGCCCAGACGCCUACCGGAGGCAGCAGUGGGGAAUAUUGCACAAUGGGCGCGAGCCUGAUGCAGCAACGCCGCGUGCGGGAUGACGGCCUUCUGGUUAUGAACCUCUUUUAGCAGGGAAGAAGCGAUAGUGACGGUACCUGCAGAAAAAGCGCCGGCUAACUACGUG